GGUCUGGUAGCUCAACUGGAAGAGCAGAUCCGUCCUAAGGAUAAGGUUGUAGGUUCAAGUCCUAUCCAGACUACCA
This 76-nucleotide transfer RNA is filed under the name Candidatus Nomurabacteria bacterium. Its description in RNAcentral is "tRNA-Arg". It matches the Rfam family "tRNA". Rfam says of the family: Transfer RNA (tRNA) molecules are approximately 80 nucleotides in length. Their secondary structure includes four short double-helical elements and three loops (D, anti-codon, and T loops). Lineage: Bacteria; Candidatus Nomuraibacteriota. The record is from RNAcentral.